RNAcentral lists this long non-coding RNA (932 nucleotides) under Homo sapiens (human). RNAcentral describes it as "HSALNT0170648". The record is from RNAcentral. Lineage: Eukaryota; Metazoa; Chordata; Mammalia; Primates; Hominidae.
UUUCGGCGGAACAGGUUCCUGCUAUUUUAUCCAGGGCUGAUUUACCUGAUGACUCAUUUCGGUUUCGGGUGAACAGGCGCUGCUAUUUUAUCAAGGUCUGAUUUACCUGACAACUCAUUUUGGUUUUGGGUGAACAGGUUCCUGCUGUUUUAUCAAGGGCUGAUUUACCUGACGACUCAUUUCAGUUUUGGGUGAACAGGUUCCUGCUAUUUUAUCGAGGGCUGAUUUACCUGACGACUCAUCUCACUCUUGCUGCUUCCAGGACUCCCAGUUUCCCUUUGAUUGUUUGACUACAGUGUGUGCAGAUGGGAGUUCCCCUGCACAAGCUCUCUUACCUACCACCAUGUGAGAUGUGACUUUGCUCCUCCAUCGCCUUCCACCAUGACCAUGAGGCUUCCGCAGCCAUGUGAAACUGAUUUUGAAUAUAUCAUCCAGCUCCUUCCUGGCCUAUAAAGUUUCUGGAAAAAGAAAAUCCAUGGAUAUCUUACACGGCUGACACUGCUAUCAUUUUUGGAACCAAGGCUGGAUCAUGACAGAACAGAGCCUCCACUACUCCUGCCUUCAGCCAGGGCCCCGAAGCAAGGCUCCACCUAACCAUCAAGUGACUGAAGGCACUAAGGGAGCCCGGCUGGGACGGAGAACCAGCAGCUGAGCACAGCCAAAGGCAAUGACCACAGAGGUCGGAGCCACACACCUUGCUGCUGCUGCCUGUGGCAGGGCUGGUUACUCAGCAUUAAUUUCACAUAUGUUACGCAUUCACGAUGGCUUUAUCUCUGGGUGUUGGGAUUACAGAUGGUUUUUUCUUUCUAAUUUUUUGGACUCAAAUUUUAAUAACAUGUAACAUACUUUAUAUCUCAUUCUCUCAAAGAUAUUAGCAAUAUAGUAUUUUUGUAAGUCUAUCAAAAGAAAUCUUCUACCUAUGUCUAGAAAUU